Molecule: transfer RNA, 119 nt
Filed under: Aciduliprofundum boonei T469
Lineage: Archaea; Methanobacteriati; Thermoplasmatota
Rfam family: tRNA
About the family: Transfer RNA (tRNA) molecules are approximately 80 nucleotides in length. Their secondary structure includes four short double-helical elements and three loops (D, anti-codon, and T loops).
Source: Rfam by way of RNAcentral
AGCGGGGUGGGGUAGCCAGGAAAUCCCGCCGGGCUCAUAAAGCCCCUUUAAAAAGCGGCUUUACCCGUAAAGGGGCUUGCGAGACCCGGAGAUCGGUGGUUCAAAUCCACCCCCCGCUA